RNAcentral lists this ribosomal RNA (407 nucleotides) under uncultured Pseudomonas sp. RNAcentral's name for it is "bacterial SSU rRNA". It matches the Rfam family "Bacterial small subunit ribosomal RNA", at positions 977 to 1382 of the family's 1533-position model. The record is from RNAcentral. Lineage: Bacteria; Pseudomonadati; Pseudomonadota; Gammaproteobacteria; Pseudomonadales; Pseudomonadaceae.
GGCCUUGACAUGCAGAGAACUUUCCAGAGAUGGAUUGGUGCCUUCGGGAACUCUGACACAGGUGCUACAUGGCUGUCGUCAGCUCGUGUCGUGAGAUGUUGGGUUAAGUCCCGUAACGAGCGCAACCCUUGUCCUUAGUUACCAGCACGUUAUGGUGGGCACUCUAAGGAGACUGCCGGUGACAAACCGGAGGAAGGUGGGGGAUGACGUCAAGUCAUCAUGGCCCUUACGGCCUGGGCUACACACGUGCUACAAUGGUCGGUACAAAGGGUUGCCAAGCCGCGAGGUGGAGCUAAUCCCAUAAAACCGAUCGUAGUCCGGAUCGCAGUCUGCAACUCGACUGCGUGAAGUCGGAAUCGCUAGUAAUCGUGAAUCAGAAUGUCACGGUGAAUACGUUCCCGGGCCUU